Molecule: ribosomal RNA, 446 nt
Filed under: uncultured bacterium
Lineage: Bacteria
Description: partial 16S ribosomal RNA
Rfam family: Bacterial small subunit ribosomal RNA
Source: RNAcentral
CCUACGGGUGGCAGCAGUCGAGAAUCAUUCACAAUGGGGGAAACCCUGAUGGUGCGACGCCGCGUUGGGGAAUGAAGGUCUUCGGAUUGUAAACCCCUGUCAUGUGGGAGCAAAUUAAAAAGAUAGUACCACAAUAGGCAGAGACUGCUAACUCUGUGCCAGCAGCCGCGGUAAUACAGAGGGCUCAAGCGUGGUUCGGAAUCACUGGGCGUAAGGCGUGCGUAGGCUGUGUGGUAAGUCGUGUGUGAAAGGCGCGGGCUCAACCCGCGGACGGCACAUGAUACUGCGAGACUAGAGUAAUGGAGGGGGAACCGGAAUUCUCGGUGUAGCAGUGAAAUGCGUAGAUAUCGAGAGGAACACUCGUGGCGAAGGCGGGUUCCUGGACAUUAACUGACGCUGAGGCACGAAGGCCAGGGGAGCGAAAGGGAUUAGAUACCCCAGUAGUC